CUCUCCGUUCCGCGUCCCAUCUCCUGCAGCAUCCCCAGGCAGUGCAGCCCACGAUGCUCUUUGCUCACCCUCAGGAUCUUGGCGUUCACGUGGUUCCGCUUUGUCUCAUGCCUGACUAACCGUGCCUUGUGCCAAGGAGCAUGCUGAAGCUGCUGUGCAUUAUCACGUGGAAACUCGUGUACAAUGGCCAAUCUGUGUUCCCACGUCGUCUAAAUAAAUGGUUGCUUAGCAUCCAGAAUCAUCCUGCUUGGGAUUAUCUCCCCAUAUGCCAGUGUUGCAGCACUGAAUGGUGUGGAUGUGCAGGGAGAGCAGAGCCUUUUGUUGUUCAUGGCUGUAAGGGGUAGCUGCGAUGAUUUCGGGUUUUGUAAUAGUUGGCCAAAUUCUGGAGGCUUGCCCAAAUAACUCUUAGUUUGCUCCGAAGAUCUUCAGCUCGUGUGUUUGCAGACCUGUGGCCACAGGAUGCCGACAAAUAAAGUGGAUUUUUUAUCAGCAUCACAAAUCUGCUUCGAUAGCAGAGUAUUGAGGAACUUAAGAUUAAGGAAAAAUCACCCCUAUUGCUAAGAGCACUGACUGCAGUUACCAAGGCUCUGCGUUCUGUCAGCACGGUGUGUAAGUUCCUACUUCUUUCAGCCUCGCUGUUGGUCAGAGAGGCACUUGGCACAUUCUGUACAUCCACGUGUUCUCCGGUGGUGCAUCGCGCUGCGCCUGGGCUGCAUUGUGUUGUGCGAACGUGAUUUGCUCACAGCACUGAAAUGAGCGUGGUGAAUUUGCCCCGUUUCCUUGUUUAGAGGGCUUCCAACGCUGUCUGUGCCCUGCAGGGUUUUGCCUGUCUCAUUUCAGCACGUGUUGCUGCUGACAGCAGUAAGGGACAGAGCGCACUUGACCCACUUAGGGCACAAAACCUGCAGGGUGUG
This 914-nucleotide long non-coding RNA is filed under the name Gallus gallus (chicken). RNAcentral describes it as "long non-coding RNA NONGGAT002248". The record is from RNAcentral. Lineage: Eukaryota; Metazoa; Chordata; Aves; Galliformes; Phasianidae.